GGAAGGAUGAGAAGCUUCGACCAAGGUUCGACUCGAGCGCCAGCGAGAGAGCGUUGCCGCAGGCAACGACCCGAAGGGCGAAGCGCGCAGCGCUGAGUAAUCCUUCCCCCACCACCA
RNAcentral lists this small RNA (117 nucleotides) under Escherichia coli. RNAcentral describes it as "partial RtT sRNA". It matches the Rfam family "RtT RNA", at positions 16 to 130 of the family's 130-position model. Rfam says of the family: This family represents a bacterial cis-regulatory element known as RtT RNA. The record is from RNAcentral. Lineage: Bacteria; Pseudomonadati; Pseudomonadota; Gammaproteobacteria; Enterobacterales; Enterobacteriaceae.